CCGAGCGUGCGGCUGUGCUGCUUCCUCCGGCCACCGCCUCUCGUGAGCCCAUGCCGGACGAAAAAACUGCAAGGCUCAUCCCCUCUCCUCCUCGAGCGUGUUCGGCCGCGGCGAGGCGCUGACUUUCUUCUUGGACGGCGAGCUGAUAGAUGCGUCCGAGCGGCGGCGAUGGUUCCAUGGCGAGAAUCUGAGAUCGGAAGGCCGAGUAAGAGUCGUUAAGGAUGAGUAAGAAUCGUGUGCUCUUUUCCCUUUCCCGCAUGUCUCUGUACUGCCUUAGUGUGGCCUCGGGUCCCUGGAGACGCUCCUCGGCCGACUCCAACUCGUUCCACAGAGAGGAGAGACGGUUGAAGCAAGCAGUAACUGAGAGGUUCCCUUGCUUCAAUUCCGUCAGGCUUUGCGUGAUGCUGAAGAGCCGUGCUCGGUCGAGCCGGCCGUACAUCUCCUUGAUGCUGUCCCAGAUCUGCUUGGAGUCUUCGGUGGGUGGCAGUCCAGCGGCAACGUCGGGAGCGAGCGUGUUGCCGAUCCAAGUGCGAACCAACUGGUUGCACUUUCGCUAGAGACGCUGGAGGCGUUCGUCGGUCGGGAACGGGACGGCUCCGUCGAGGAAGCCGUCCUUGUCCUUCGUCACCAGAGCCCGCCGGAGAUCACGAGCCCACGACGAGUAAGUUUCCGGUCAAGUAAGUUGG
This 686-nucleotide long non-coding RNA is filed under the name Eucalyptus grandis. RNAcentral describes it as "long non-coding RNA (EGRA_LNC006022)". The record is from RNAcentral. Lineage: Eukaryota; Viridiplantae; Streptophyta; Magnoliopsida; Myrtales; Myrtaceae.